AUUCAAAUUUGUUUAAAAUUUUGUGUAAGUGUCAGCACGUCGGUGCGGCGCGUCGAUGGUCGGUAACUCUGAUUAGUUUAAUCUGAUAUUGAAUGAUGAUGAUGUGCUUAAAAAAUUACCGACGUUUCGCUAUCCUCUUUCAGUCCUCCUUGUUCAGCCUCUCCAGCGGCGGAGGGAAAGAGGCCGCCUCAAAUUUUCUUUUUAAUUUACUUUAUUAUAAAUUGUUGAUUUUUUGAUAUUUUGUCUAAUUUUACAAUAAAAAAAAAAAAAAUCAGCCUUCUAGUAUAGUAUCUUGGCUCCGUCACUGUUAAUUAUCGCUGAUUCGAUUAAUGCUUUAAUAUGCAGUUUAAACGAAAGAGAAGUGCAAGGGAAGGAUUCAAGUGAGGAAAUCCUAUGGCGUCAGCUGUGGAGUGCAGAUAUGGAUGUGAUGAUUGAAAGAUUAUCAAGCAAUAGCAAAGACCUGUCGAAACUUGCAAGAAAGCUCCUGCGGUUCAUUUCAAGCAACAAACUAAAAUUUGGGCUUCAAAAACCUGCAAAUAAUGUUUCUAUUCUAGAGCAGAGGAUUCGUGAAGAUGGAACUCUAUGAUCAAGAACUUAAGAUGUAUACUGUAAGUAUUAAACCUCGAAAGUCUAAACUGAACAUAUACAGAGUUUUAUUUGCUGUCUAAGUCUGAACCUUUGCACAAGAAGAUGUUGAUUAAUGCAACCCAAAGGGAUGGGAUGAUGAUUAUAAGCCAUGCCCAAUUCCUGUAUUUCCGAAAGCUUCAACACUUGGAUGAUCCGGGUCAAAACUG
Molecule: long non-coding RNA, 794 nt
Organism: Jatropha curcas
Lineage: Eukaryota; Viridiplantae; Streptophyta; Magnoliopsida; Malpighiales; Euphorbiaceae
Source: RefSeq, a predicted model, not a curated record